Molecule: long non-coding RNA, 762 nt
Organism: Eptesicus fuscus (big brown bat)
Lineage: Eukaryota; Metazoa; Chordata; Mammalia; Chiroptera; Vespertilionidae
Exons: 3
Source: RefSeq, a predicted model, not a curated record
UGACGUGAACAGCGACUUGUGUGUGAAGCGUCUCUGAUGGCGUCUGUGACUGUUGGUUUUACUCUGCACGGCCUCCGGGUGAAGACUUGCGAGGGAAGGCAGCGGCUGCAGGACGUGUGCGGUCAAGGCCUGGCUGUGGUGGAAGGCGGCCUCCGGCAGCAGCUGGCGGCAGGAGCUUGGUAGAAUGUCGGGGCCACUGCACUUGUUUCAGUGAGCAGGCCAGGCCUGGAAACAAUGGGAGCAGCUGCACAGAUUUAGAAGCAUCAGCAUUCAGCUCUGGUCAACCUACGCUUCAUUGAAGUAUCAACUGUGCAUAUUUAAAGCAUGCAAUUUGAUGAGUUUGGACAGGUGUGCACCGAUGAAACCAUCACCACAAUCAAGCUCUCAAGGUUGCAGGACUGAACACCUGGAUCCACCACUCCCGGGUGAAAGCAGCCCACCAGUCGAGUGACACCCAGCCUGAGUGAAAAGGUGACCUCUGACCAGAAACACCCCCUGCGGAUCACCCUCAAGAAGACAGCGGACCUGGCUGAUCAACCUGCUCCAAGGAAUUCAGAUAGCACCCUGCUGAAUUCUCCCUUACACUAAUCUUUCUUUCUUAUCGCCUCCUAAAAGGUAAUAUUUUUUGGUAUUUCUGGAUAAUCAUUGUUUUUAUCUUUCUAAUAUUCUUAUUUUGUCUUUUUAUGAGUGUCGCCGGGACCCUAGGCUAGUCCCAGGAGGAGAACUCUUCUGCCCGUGCUGGGACACAGAAGCACCAUAAAA